Molecule: long non-coding RNA, 634 nt
Organism: Athene cunicularia (burrowing owl)
Lineage: Eukaryota; Metazoa; Chordata; Aves; Strigiformes; Strigidae
Exons: 3
Source: RefSeq, a predicted model, not a curated record
ACCCAGGCUGCAAAAGGGGAGGAAAGGUAGUUUUCAGCUCAAAGUGCACAGCUGGAAGGGCUCCCCUCAUUCUGGACUCCAACUAAGGCUGCAGAUGCUUCGAUCUGCACUUAAAAACUGCAAAAACCUCAGCUUUUGGGUUCAUUAGGAGUAAAUUAGCCGCUGGUGCUCCUUAAAGGGACAUAGUUAGGUUGCAGCUAUGCCAAAAAAUGCUCUCAACAACCAUGUACAAUAAAACCAGAAUAGACAUUUGAGAUCCUCUUUGGUUUGCUUUUUUGGGAGGUUGUGUUUUUUUGGGGUUGGGGCUAGUGGGUUUUGGUUUUGGGGGUUUUGUUGUUGUUGUUGUUGUUUUUGUUAUUGUUGUUUUGGUUUUUUUUUCAUUUUGUUUGCUUGGGAGAAAAAAUUGGCUUGGACCAUGUGUCACAAAGCAGUCAACUCAUUUUCUAUUCCUUGCCAGCUUCUCUGUUUCUUGAGUAUUAGCAUAAUGCUGUUGUGUUUGGGUUGCAAACACUUGCGGGGGGGAAAAAAAAAAAAAAAGGAAAAAAAAAUCAAAACAGUAACAGAACCAGAAGUGAAAUCCCACCAACCUUUACAGUUAUUUUAGUCUUUCAUGAUCAUCAUUCAUAAAGUCCUA